Long non-coding RNA from Dermacentor albipictus, 397 nucleotides. RefSeq lists it as uncharacterized. Lineage: Eukaryota; Metazoa; Arthropoda; Arachnida; Ixodida; Ixodidae. The record is from RefSeq and is a predicted model, not a curated record.
CCCCUGGAAGAUAUUUUGCGCGGCCGUCUCACGGGGCUCAAACGUCAUGGACGGGCGCGGUGGCCAUUGACUGCGGGGUCAACACUUGGAUAAAGAGGCGCCUGCCGGAGUCAAGCCCCGUGUCUCCAAGAACCCACUCACCUCGGCAUGCGACGCGGCAUCCGCCAAGCUGAAGUCAUGUUAUCGGCAGAGGAAACGAACGCUGCCAUAACCAUUAACCGAGCAGGCGCUGGCAAUGCCGUUCGUUUCUCUCCGUGACUCUGCGGCACGGCGCAUCGGUCUCAUCGGCCACAGAACCUGAUAAAAGGGUACACAUGCACUCCCUUCAAGACGACGACCCUCUACCCCAAGAACAGCCUCUCCUGAAUGAUAAGUAGCAACAUUAAAUGAAAGGAAA